AACUCGGUCCUCUCUCUCUCUGACUAGAUCUGAAGAAAAAAUUCUCCCGUCAUAAAACUCUUCCGCCAUUGAAACCAGAGCAGUUGGAAGCAUCCAUCUUGAAUUUUUGGUCAUCUUUCAGAAGGAGUGGAAGAUUUAAUCUGAGAUUUCACAAGGAGUUACUGCAGCUGCUAUUGCUAAUCAGGCAAGGUCUCUUUUUUAUCUAGCUUUUUGUUUUGGGUUUGAUCUUAGGUCAGUUUAGAUUCUGUGAGAAUUGGGUUUCUGUAACUUUUUAAAUUUGAACAAGUAUGCAACUAAUAAAUUAAGAUGAACUUCAUUUAUCUUC
Molecule: long non-coding RNA, 325 nt
Organism: Papaver somniferum (opium poppy)
Lineage: Eukaryota; Viridiplantae; Streptophyta; Magnoliopsida; Ranunculales; Papaveraceae
Exons: 3
Source: RefSeq, a predicted model, not a curated record